UACGAAGGGGGCAAGCGUUGUUCGGAAUUACUGGGCGUAAAGGGCGCGCAGGCGGCAUACGUAGUCAGGCGUGAAAGCCCCGGGCUUAACCUGGGAAUUGCGUUUGAUACUCGUGAGCUAGAGUUCGGGAGAGGUUGGUGGAACUGCGAGUGUAGAGGUGAAAUUCGUAGAUAUUCGCAAGAACACCAGUGGCGAAGGCGGCUCACUGGCCCGGUCCUGACGCUGAAACGCGAAGGCGUGGGGAGCGAACGGG
This 253-nucleotide ribosomal RNA is filed under the name uncultured bacterium. RNAcentral describes it as "partial 16S ribosomal RNA". It matches the Rfam family "Bacterial small subunit ribosomal RNA", at positions 524 to 776 of the family's 1533-position model. The record is from RNAcentral.